RNAcentral lists this ribosomal RNA (307 nucleotides) under Microcystis aeruginosa Ind68. RNAcentral's name for it is "bacterial SSU rRNA". It matches the Rfam family "Bacterial small subunit ribosomal RNA", at positions 614 to 915 of the family's 1533-position model. Lineage: Bacteria; Bacillati; Cyanobacteriota; Cyanophyceae; Chroococcales; Microcystaceae. The record is from RNAcentral.
CGACCAAAGGCGGUGGAAACUGGCAGACUAGAGAGCAGUUAGGGGUAGCAGGAAUUCCCAGUGUAGCGUGAAAUGCGUUAGAGAUUGGGAAGAACAUCGGUGGCGAAAGCGUGCUACUGGGCUGUAUCUGACACUCAGGGACGAAAGCUAGGGGAGGCGAAAGGGAUUAGAUACCCCAUGUAGUCCUAGCCGUAAACGAUGGAUACUAAGCGUCGGCUUGUAUCGACCCGAGCCGUGCCGAAGCUAACGCGUUAAGUAUCCCGCCUGGGGAGUACGCACGCAAGUCGUGAAACUCAAGGAAUUGACU